GACGAACGCUGGCGGCGUGCUUAACACAUGCAAGUCGAACGGAAAGGCCCUGCUUUUGUGGGGUGCUCGAGUGGCAAACGGGUGAGUAACACGUGAGUAACCUGCCCUUGACUUUGGGAUAACUUCAGGAAACUGGGGCUAAUACCGGAUAGGAGCUCCUGCUGCACGGUGGGGGUUGGAAAGUUUCGGCGGUUGGGGAUGGACUCGCGGCUUAUCAGCUUGUUGGUGGGGUAGUGGCUUACCAAGGCUUUGACGGGUAGCCGGCCUGAGAGGGUGACCGGCCACAUUGGGACUGAGAUACGGCCCAGACUCCUACGGGAGGCAGCAGUGGGGAAUAUUGCACAAUGGGCGGAAGCCUGAUGCAGCAACGCCGCGUGCGGGAUGACGGCCUUCGGGUUGUAAACCGCUUUCGCCUGUGACGAAGCGUGAGUGACGGUAAUGGGUAAAGAAGCACCGGCUAACUACGUGCCAGCAGCCGCGGUGAUACGUAGGGUGCGAGCGUUGUCCGGAUUUAUUGGGCGUAAAGGGCUCGUAGGUGGUUGAUCGCGUCGGAAGUGUAAUCUUGGGGCUUAACCCUGAGCGUGCUUUCGAUACGGGUUGACUUGAGGAGGGUAGGGGAGAAUGGAAUUCCUGGUGGAGCGGUGGAAUGCGCAGAUAUCAGGAGGAACACCAGUGGCGAAGGCGGUUCUCUGGGCCUUUCCUGACGCUGAGGAGCGAAAGCGUGGGGAGCGAACAGGCUUAGAUACCCUGGUAGUCCACGCUGUAAACGGUGGGUACUAGGUGUGGGGUCCAUUCCACGGGUUCCGUGCCGUAGCUAACGCUUUAAGUACCCCGCCUGGGGAGUACGGCCGCAAGGCUAAAACUCAAAGGAAUUGACGGGGCCCCGCACAAGCGGCGGAGCAUGCGGAUUAAUUCGAUGCAACGCGUAGAACCUUACCUGGGUUUGACAUGGAUCGGGAGUGCUCAGAGAUGGGUGUGCCUCUUUUGGGGUCGGUUCACAGGUGGUGCAUGGCUGUCGUCAGCUCGUGUCGUGAGAUGUUGGGUUAAGUCCCGCAACGAGCGCAACCCUUGUUCACUGUUGCCAGCACGUUAUGGUGGGGACUCAGUGGAGACCGCCGGGGUCAACUCGGAGGAAGGUGGGGAUGACGUCAAGUCAUCAUGCCCCUUAUGUCCAGGGCUUCACGCAUGCUACAAUGGCUGGUACAGAGAGUGGCGAGCCUGUGAGGGUGAGCGAAUCUCGGAAAGCCGGUCUCAGUUCGGAUUGGGGUCUGCAACUCGACCUCAUGAAGUCGGAGUCGCUAGUAAUCGCAGAUCAGCAACGCUGCGGUGAAUACGUUCCUGGGGCUUGUACACACCGCCCGUCAAGUCAUGAAAGUUGGUAACACCCGAAGCCGGUGGCCUAACCGUUGUGGGGGAGCCGUCGAAGGUGGGACUGGUGAUUAGGACU
RNAcentral lists this ribosomal RNA (1447 nucleotides) under uncultured bacterium. RNAcentral's name for it is "partial 16S rRNA". It matches the Rfam family "Bacterial small subunit ribosomal RNA". The record is from RNAcentral.